RNAcentral lists this ribosomal RNA (445 nucleotides) under uncultured bacterium. RNAcentral describes it as "bacterial SSU rRNA". It matches the Rfam family "Bacterial small subunit ribosomal RNA", at positions 337 to 796 of the family's 1533-position model. The record is from RNAcentral.
UCCUACGGGAGGCAGCAGUGGGGAAUAUUGGACAAUGGACCACAAGUCUGAUCCAGCAAUUCUGUGUGCACGAUGACGUUUUUCGGAAUGUAAAGUGCUUUCAGUCGGGAAGAAGUCAGUGACGGUACCGACAGAAGAAGCGACGGCUAAAUACGUGCCAGCAGCCGCGGUAAUACGUAUGUCGCAAGCGUUAUCCGGAUUUAUUGGACGUAAAGCGCGUCUAGGCGGCAAGGAAAGUCUGAUGUGAAAAUGCGGAGCUCAACUCCGUAUGGCGUUGGAAACUGCCUUACUAGAGUACUGGAGAGGUAGGCGGAACUACAAGUGUAGAGGUGAAAUUCGUAGAUAUUUGUAGGAAUGCCGAUGGGGAAGCCAGCCUACUGGACAGAUACUGACGCUAAAGCGCGAAAGCGUGGGUAGCAAACAGGAUUAGAUACCCUGGUAGUCC